ACGAGUGGCGGACGGGUGAGUAAUGUCUGGGAAACUGCCCGAUGGAGGGGGAUAACUACUGGAAACGGUAGCUAAUACCGCAUAACGUCGCAAGACCAAAGAGGGGGACCUUCGGGCCUCUUGCCAUCGGAUGUGCCCAGAUGGGAUUAGCUAGUAGGUGGGGUAACGGCUCACCUAGGCGACGAUCCCUAACUGGUCUGAGAGGAUGACCAGCCACGCUGGAACUGAGACACGGUCCAG
RNAcentral lists this ribosomal RNA (240 nucleotides) under uncultured bacterium. RNAcentral describes it as "partial 16S ribosomal RNA". It matches the Rfam family "Bacterial small subunit ribosomal RNA", at positions 91 to 334 of the family's 1533-position model. The record is from RNAcentral.